GUGGGGAAUCUUCCGCAAUGGACGAAAGUCUGACGGAGCAACGCCGCGUGAGUGAAGAAGGUUUUCGGAUCGUAAAGCUCUUUCGUUAGGGACGAACGUGCUCUUUGUGAAUAAUGAGGAGUAAUGACGGUACCUAAAUAAGAAGCCACGGCUAACUACGUGCCAGCAGCCGCGGUAAUACGUAGGUGGCAAGCGUUGUCCGGAAUUAUUGGGCGGAAAGCGCGCGCAGGCGGGAUAUCAAGUCUGUCUUAAAAGUGCGAGGCUCAACCUCGUGAGGGGACAGAAACUGGUAUUCUUGAGUGUCGGAGAGGAAAGUGGAAUUCCAAGUGUAGCGGUGAAAUGCGUAGAGAUUUGGAAGAACACCAGUGGCGAAGGCGACUUUCUGGACGAUGUCUGACGCUGAGGCGCGAAAGCUAGGGGAGCGAACGGGAUUAGAAACCCGGGUAGUCC
RNAcentral lists this ribosomal RNA (450 nucleotides) under uncultured bacterium. RNAcentral's name for it is "partial 16S ribosomal RNA". It matches the Rfam family "Bacterial small subunit ribosomal RNA", at positions 354 to 796 of the family's 1533-position model. The record is from RNAcentral.